This 253-nucleotide ribosomal RNA is filed under the name uncultured bacterium. RNAcentral describes it as "partial 16S ribosomal RNA". It matches the Rfam family "Bacterial small subunit ribosomal RNA", at positions 524 to 776 of the family's 1533-position model. The record is from RNAcentral.
UACAGGGGGUGCAACCGUUGCUCGGAAUUAUUGGGCGUAAAGCGCGCGUAGGCGGUCUUGUAAGUCGGAUGUGAAAGCCCUUGGCUUAACCGAGGAAGUGCAUCCGAAACUGCAAGGCUUGAGUACGAAAGAGGAUCGCGGAAUUCCCGGUGUAGAGGUGAAAUUCGUAGAUAUCGGGAGGAACACCGGCGGCGAAGGCGGCGAUCUGGGUCGACACUGACGCUCAGGCACGAAAGCGUGGGGAGCAAACAGG